CUACGUGCCAGCAGCCGCGGUAAUACGUAGGGGGCAAGCGUUAUCCGGAUUUACUGGGUGUAAAGGGAGCGUAGACGGAAUGGCAAGUCUGAAGUGAAAUACCCGGGCUCAACCUGGGAACUGCUUUGGAAACUGUUGUUCUAGAGUGUUGGAGAGGUAAGUGGAAUUCCUGGUGUAGCGGUGAAAUGCGUAGAUAUCAGGAAGAACACCGGAGGCGAAGGCGGCUUACUGGACAAUAACUGACGUUGAGGCUCGAAAGCGUGGGGAUCAAACAGGAUUAGAUACCCUGGUAGUCCGCACAGUAAACGAUGGAUGCCCGUUGUUAGUUCACUUAUGAAUUAGCGACCAAGCGAAAGCAUUAAGCAUCCCACCUGGGGAGUACGCCGGCAACGGUGAAACUCAAAGGAAUUGACGGGGGCCCGCACAAGCGGAGGAACAUGUGGUUUAAUUCGAUGAUACGCGAGGAACCUUACCCGGGCUUGAA
This 484-nucleotide ribosomal RNA is filed under the name uncultured bacterium. RNAcentral describes it as "bacterial SSU rRNA". It matches the Rfam family "Bacterial small subunit ribosomal RNA", at positions 501 to 985 of the family's 1533-position model. The record is from RNAcentral.